Molecule: ribosomal RNA, 242 nt
Filed under: Staphylococcus pseudintermedius
Lineage: Bacteria; Bacillati; Bacillota; Bacilli; Caryophanales; Staphylococcaceae
Description: partial 16S ribosomal RNA
Rfam family: Bacterial small subunit ribosomal RNA
Source: RNAcentral
UUUAUGGAGAGUUUGAUCCUGGCUCAGGAUGAACGCUGGCGGCGUGCCUAAUACAUGCAAGUCGAGCGAACAGAUAAGGAGCUUGCUCCUUUGACGUUAGCGGCGGACGGGUGAGUAACACGUGGGUAACCUACCUAUAAGACUGGAAUAACUCCGGGAAACCGGGGCUAAUGCCGGAUAACAUGUUGAACCGCAUGGUUCUACAGUGAAAGACGGUCUUGCUGUCACUUAUAGAUGGACCC